CGCGUGUACUGGUCCGGCCGGGCCUUUCCCUCUGUGGAACCCCAUGCCCUUCACUGGGCGUGGCGGGGAAACAGGACUUUUACUGUGAAAAAAUUAGAGUGCUCCAGGCAGGCCUAUGCUCGAAUACAUUAGCAUGGAAUAAUAGAAUAGGACGUGUGGUUCUAUUUUGUUGGUUUCUAGGACCGCCGUAAUGAUUAAUAGGGACAGUCGGGGGCAUCAGUAUUCAAUUGUCAGAGGUGAAAUUCUUGGAUUUAUUGAAGACUAACUACUGCGAAAGCAUUUGCCAAGGAUGUUUUCAUUAAUCAGGAACGAAAGUUAGGGGAUCGAAGACGAUCAGAUACCGUCGUAGUCUUAACCAUAAACUAUGCCGACUAGGGAUCGGACGAUGUUAUAUUUUGACUCGUUCGGCACCUUACGAGAAAUCAAAGUGCUUGGGCUCCAGGGGGAGUAUGGUCGCAAGGCUGAAACUUAAAGAAAUUGACGGAAGGGCACCACCAGGGGUAAACCUAGCUGGUUUUCACAAGCCGCAGUUAACUCUGCUCCUAAAAGCCGCCCGAAAGGGUCAGUGGUGUUCCAUGGUCCCCGAGGCCUAAAUUAAUGGCUAGUCUCCCCCCGCGGAGGCGACACCCUCAAAUUGCGGGAAACUCCUAAAGCCUUCACUCCGAAGCCGCGUACUGAAAAGUCGCGCGUGGCCAGGUUAAUAGCCUCGGGUACCGGAAAAACGUGAAGGAUGCCACAAUGGACAAUCCGCAGCCAAGCCCCUAAGGUAUCAGGCGACAGCAUGCUGUCACCGGGUAUACGGGGAAGGUUCAGAGACUUGACGGGGGUGGGUUGGCUAAUUUCAAUAUGGCCGGCCUAAGGUAAAGUCCGUCCCUGCGUGAAAGCGCAGUGGGUUUUCAUACUGCUUCUGCAGAGACAUUCGAUCUGCAUCGAAGGCCCCAAGUAAACGGGAGCCUGCGGCUUAAUUUGACUCAACACGGGGAAACUCACCAGGUCCAGACACAAUGAGGAUUGACAGAUUGAGAGCUCUUUCUUGAUUUUGUGGGUGGUGGUGCAUGGCCGUUCUUAGUUGGUGGAGUGAUUUGUCUGCUUAAUUGCGAUAACGAACGAGACCUUAACCUGCUAAAUAGCCCGUAUUGCUUUGGCAGUACGCUGGCUUCUUAGAGGGACUAUCGG
This 1176-nucleotide ribosomal RNA is filed under the name uncultured eukaryote. Its description in RNAcentral is "bacterial SSU rRNA". It matches the Rfam family "Eukaryotic small subunit ribosomal RNA", at positions 670 to 1426 of the family's 1831-position model. The record is from RNAcentral.